RNAcentral lists this ribosomal RNA (484 nucleotides) under uncultured bacterium. RNAcentral's name for it is "partial 16S ribosomal RNA". It matches the Rfam family "Bacterial small subunit ribosomal RNA", at positions 28 to 507 of the family's 1533-position model. The record is from RNAcentral.
AUUGAACGCUGGCGGCAUGCUUUACACAUGCAAGUCGAACGGCAGCGCGGGCUUCGGCCUGGCGGCGCGUGGCGAACGGGUGAGUAAUGCAUCGGAACGUGCCCAGUCGUGGGGGAUAGCCUGGCGAAAGCCGGCUUAAUCCCGCACACGACCUGAGGGUGAACGCGGGGGAUCGAAAGGCCUCGCGCUAUUGGCGCGGCCGAUGUCGGAUUAGCUAGUUGGUGUGGUAAAGGCUUACCAAGGCGACGAUCCGUAGCUGGUCUGAGAGGACGACCAGCCACACUGGGACUGAGACACGGCCCAGACUCCUACGGGAGGCAGCAGUGGGGAAUUUUGGACAAUGGGGGCAACCCUGAUCCAGCCAUGCCGCGUGCGGGAAGAAGGCCUUCGGGUUGUAAACCGCUUUUAUUCGGGAAGAAAUCCUCUGGGCUAAUACCCCGGGGGGAUGACGGUACCGGAAGAAUAAGCACCGGCUAACUACGUG